AGUGAACGCUGGCGGUAGGCCUAACACAUGCAAGUCGAACGGCAGCACAGUAAGAGCUUGCUCUUACGGGUGGCGAGUGGCGGACGGGUGAGGAAUACAUCGGAAUCUACUUUUUCGUGGGGGAUAACGUAGGUAAACUUACGCUAAUACCGCAUACGACCUACGGGUGAAAGGAGGGGAUCUUCGGACCUUGCGCGAUUGAAUGAGCCGAUGUCGGAUUAGCUAGUUGGCGGGGUAAAGGCCCACCAAGGCGACGAUCCGUAGCUGGUCUGGGAGGAUGAUCAGCCACACUGGAGCUGAGCCACGGUCCAGGCUCCUACGGGAGGCAGCAGUGGGGAAUGUUGGACAAUGGGCGCAAGCAUGAUCCAGCCAUACCGCGUGGGUGAAGAAGGCCUUCGGGUUGUAAAGCCCUUUUGUUGGGAAAGAAAAGCAGCAGGUUAAUACCCCGCUGUUCUGACGGUACCCAAAGAAUAAGCACCGGCUAACUUCGUG
This 492-nucleotide ribosomal RNA is filed under the name uncultured bacterium. RNAcentral's name for it is "partial 16S ribosomal RNA". It matches the Rfam family "Bacterial small subunit ribosomal RNA", at positions 29 to 507 of the family's 1533-position model. The record is from RNAcentral.